UUUCCGUAGGUGAACCUGCGGAAGGAUCAUUAAUAAAUUUUGAAAAGGGAUAUACCUGUCUUGUUAGGAGGCUUGUGUACGCUCUGCUCUUCCAUCCUUAUUCCUGUUCACUCGCUGUAGGUCGGUUUGGGCGGCUCUCUCUAACGGGGGAUACUGAUUGUUCUUCCUAUGUUUUAUAUCAAGCUCUGUAAUGUCAUAGAAUAUGAUCGUGUAUAACUCAUUAUACUAUAACUUGCAGCAACGGAUCUAUAGGCUCUCACAUCGAUAAAGAACGCAACA
RNAcentral lists this unclassified non-coding RNA (279 nucleotides) under plant metagenome. RNAcentral's name for it is "partial contains small subunit ribosomal RNA, internal transcribed spacer 1, and 5.8S ribosomal RNA". The record is from RNAcentral.